GUUAGUUCUUAGUUCAUGAGUGUGAUAUUUGGAUUUUCGUACCCGUGUUUGAGAUGUGCCUCCCUCAAACUUUGUUAGGAUGUGGGCACAUUCCCAGUCUCGUG
Molecule: small nucleolar RNA, 104 nt
Organism: Otolemur garnettii (small-eared galago)
Lineage: Eukaryota; Metazoa; Chordata; Mammalia; Primates; Galagidae
Source: Ensembl